Molecule: ribosomal RNA, 439 nt
Filed under: uncultured bacterium
Lineage: Bacteria
Description: partial 16S ribosomal RNA
Rfam family: Bacterial small subunit ribosomal RNA
Source: RNAcentral
CUACGGGUCGCUGCAGUGGGGAAUAUUGCACAAUGGAGGAAACUCUGAUGCAGCAACGCCGCGUGGAGGAUGACACUUUUCGGAGCGUAAACUCCUUUUAUAUAGGAAGAAGAUGACGGUACUAUAUGAAUAAGCGCCGGCUAACUCCGUGCCAGCAGCCGCGGUAAUACGGAGGGCGCAAGCGUGACUCGGAAUCACUGGGCGUAAAGAGCGUGUAGGCGGAUUAAAAAGUCAGAAGUGAAAUCCUAUAGCUUAACUAUAGAACUGCUACUGAAACUCUUAAUCUAGAAUAUGGGAGAGGUAGAUGGAAUUUCUGGUGUAGGGGUAAAAUCCGUAGAGAUCAGAAGGAAUACCGAUUGCGAAGGCGAUCUACUAGAACAUUAUUGACGCUGAGACGCGAAAGCGUGGGGAGCAAACAGGAUUAGAUACCCUGGUAGUC